Molecule: ribosomal RNA, 457 nt
Filed under: uncultured bacterium
Lineage: Bacteria
Description: partial 16S ribosomal RNA
Rfam family: Bacterial small subunit ribosomal RNA
Source: RNAcentral
CCUACGGGAGGCAGCAGUGGGGAAUAUUGCACAAUGGGGGGAACCCUGAUGCAGCGACGCCGCGUGGGUGAAGGAGCACCUCGGUGCGUAAAGCCCUAUCGGCAGGGAAGAAAGGCGGGCGGGGCCCGUCUGGACGGUACCUGACUAAGAAGCCCCGGCUAACUACGUGCCAGCAGCCGCGGUAAUACGUAGGGGGCAAGCGUUAUCCGGAUUCACUGGGUGUAAAGGGAGCGUAGACGGCGACGCAAGUCUGGAGUGAAAGCCCGGGGCCCAACCCCGGGACUGCUCUGGAAACUGCGGCGCUGGAGUACGGGAGGGGCAGGCGGAAUUCCUGGUGUAGCGGUGAAAUGCAUAGAUAUCAGGAGGAACACCGGCGGCGAAGGCGGCCUGCUGGACCGUGACUGACGUUGAGGCUCGAGAGCGUGGGGAGCAAACAGGAUUAGAUACCCCUGUAGUC